UUAGGAAUUUUGCGCAAUGGGGGAAACCCUGACGCAGCAACGCCGCGUGAAGGAUGAAGGCCUUCGGGUUGUAAACUUCUUUCGACAGGGAAAAAACAAAUGAUGGUACCUGGAGAAGAAGCACCGGCUAACUACGUGCCAGCAGCCGCGGUAAUACGUAGGGUGCAAGCGUUACUCGGAUUUAUUGGGCGUAAAGCGCAUGUAGGUGGUUUUAUAAGUCUGAUGUGAAAGCCCUGGACUCAAUUCAGGAACUGCAUUGGAUACUGUAAGACUAGAGUAUGGGAGAGGUAGGCGGAAUUCUUGGUGUAGAGGUGAAAUUCGUAGAUAUCAAGAGGAACAACAGAAGCGAAGGCGGCUUACUGGACCAUAACUGACACUGAGAUGCGACAGUGUGGGGAGCAAACAGG
RNAcentral lists this ribosomal RNA (407 nucleotides) under uncultured bacterium. Its description in RNAcentral is "bacterial SSU rRNA". It matches the Rfam family "Bacterial small subunit ribosomal RNA", at positions 355 to 776 of the family's 1533-position model. The record is from RNAcentral.